This 509-nucleotide ribosomal RNA is filed under the name uncultured bacterium. Its description in RNAcentral is "bacterial SSU rRNA". It matches the Rfam family "Bacterial small subunit ribosomal RNA", at positions 26 to 535 of the family's 1533-position model. The record is from RNAcentral.
AGGAUGAACGCUGGCGGCGUGCUUAACACAUGCAAGUCGAGCGAAGCAUUAAAACCGAUUUCUUCGGAAAGAAGUUUUAAUGACUGAGCGGCGGACGGGUGAGUAACGCGUGGGUGACCUGCCUCAUACAGGGGGAUAACAGACAGAAAUGUCUGCUAAUACCGCAUAAGCGCACAGUGUUGCAUGGCACAGUGUGAAAAACUCCGGUGGUAUGAGAUGGACCCGCGUCUGAUUAGCUAGUUGGUAAGGUAACGGCUUACCAAGGCGACGAUCAGUAGCCGGCCUGAGAGGGUGAACGGCCACAUUGGGACUGAGACACGGCCCAAACUCCUACGGGAGGCAGCAGUGGGGAAUAUUGCACAAUGGGGGAAACCCUGAUGCAGCGACGCCGCGUGAAGGAAGAAGUAUUUCGGUAUGUAAACUUCUAUCAGCAGGGAAGAAAAUGACGGUACCUGACUAAGAAGCCCCGGCUAACUACGUGCCAGCAGCCGCGGUAAUACGUAGGGGGC